AUACGUAGGGGGCGAGCGUUGUCCGGAAUUACUGGGCGUAAAGGGUGCGUAGGCGGUCUGUUAAGUCAGAUGUGAAACUCCAUGGCUCAACUGUGGGCUUGCAUAUGAAACUGGCAGACUAGAGUGCAGGAGAGGGAAGUGGAAUUCCUAGUGUAGCGGUGAAAUGCGUAGAGAUUAGGAGGAACACCAGUGGCGAAGGCGGCUUUCUGGCCUGUAACUGACGCUGAGGCACGAAAGCGUGGGGAGCGAACAGGAUUAGAUACCCUGGUAGUCCACGCCGUAAACGAUGGAUACUAGGUGUAGGGGGUAUUAAGCCUUCGGUGCCGCAGUUAACGCAAUAAGUAUCCCGCCUGGGGAGUACGGCCGCAAGGCUGAA
RNAcentral lists this ribosomal RNA (376 nucleotides) under uncultured bacterium. Its description in RNAcentral is "bacterial SSU rRNA". It matches the Rfam family "Bacterial small subunit ribosomal RNA", at positions 523 to 898 of the family's 1533-position model. The record is from RNAcentral.